GCGGGGCGGCCUCUGGGCCGAGGAGGCGCCGCCGGAGAGCCGUAUCUUCGCCGCGGUGCUGCUCUUCUCGUGGGCCGUCUACC
This is a microRNA precursor of Anolis carolinensis (green anole), 83 nucleotides long. The record is from Ensembl. NCBI's taxonomy places the organism in Eukaryota, Metazoa, Chordata, Lepidosauria, Squamata, Anolidae.